GACGAACGCUGGCGGCGUGCCUAAUACAUGCAAGUGGGACGCAAGGAAACACACUGUGCUUGCACACCGUGUUUUCUUGAGUCGCGAACGGGUGAGUAACGCGUAGGUAACCUGCCUAUUAGCGGGGGAUAACUAUUGGAAACGAUAGCUAAUACCGCAUAAUAUUAAUUAUUGCAUGAUAAUUGAUUGAAAGAUGCAAGCGCAUCACUAGUAGAUGGACCUGCGUUGUAUUAGCUAGUUGGUAAGGUAAGAGCUUACCAAGGCGACGAUACAUAGCCGACCUGAGAGGGUGAUCGGCCACACUGGGACGGAGACACGGCCCAGACUCCUACGGGAGGCAGCAGGAGGGAAUCUUCGGCAAUGGACGAAAGUCUGACCGAGCAACGCCGCGUGAGUGAAGAAGGUUGUCGGAUCGUAAAGCUCUGUUGUAAGUCAAGAACGUGUGUGAGAGUGGAAAGUUCACACAGUGACGGUAGCUUACCAGAAAGGGACGGCUAACUACGUG
Molecule: ribosomal RNA, 505 nt
Filed under: uncultured bacterium
Lineage: Bacteria
Description: partial 16S ribosomal RNA
Rfam family: Bacterial small subunit ribosomal RNA
Source: RNAcentral